This 66-nucleotide transfer RNA is filed under the name Athyma asura (studded sergeant). RNAcentral describes it as "tRNA-His". Lineage: Eukaryota; Metazoa; Arthropoda; Insecta; Lepidoptera; Nymphalidae. The record is from RNAcentral.
ACUUAAAUAAUUUAAAAUUAAAAUGUUGAUUUGUGGAGUCAAUUAUAUGAGAUAUCAUUUUAAGUU